GAUGAACGCUGGCGGCGUGCCUAAUACAUGCAAGUCGAGCGAACAGACGAGGAGCUUGCUCCUCUGACGUUAGCGGCGGACGGGUGAGUAACACGUGGAUAACCUACCUAUAAGACUGGGAUAACUUCGGGAAACCGGAGCUAAUACCGGAUAAUAUAUUGAACCGCAUGGUUCAAUAGUGAAAGACGGUUUUGCUGUCACUUAUAGAUGGAUCCGCGCUGCAUUAGCUAGUUGGUAAGGUAACGGCUUACCAAGGCAACGAUGCGUAGCCGACCUGAGAGAGUGAGCGGCCACACUGGAACUGAGACACGGUCCAGACUCCUACGGGAGGCAGCAGUAGGGAAUCUUCCGCAAUGGGCGAAAGCCUGACGGAGCAACGCGGCGUGAGUGAUGAAGGUCUUCGGAUCGUAAAACUCUGUGAUUAGGGAAGAACAAAUGUGUAAGUAACUAUGCACGUCUUGACGGUACCUAAUCAGAGAGCCACGGCUAACUACGUG
RNAcentral lists this ribosomal RNA (497 nucleotides) under uncultured bacterium. RNAcentral's name for it is "partial 16S ribosomal RNA". It matches the Rfam family "Bacterial small subunit ribosomal RNA", at positions 28 to 507 of the family's 1533-position model. The record is from RNAcentral.